GUGGGGAAUCUUGCGCAAUGGGCGAAAGCCUGACGCAGCCAUGCCGCGUGAAUGAUGAAGGUCUUAGGAUUGUAAAAUUCUUUCACCGGGGACGAUAAUGACGGUACCCGGAGAAGAAGCUCCGGCUAACUUCGUGCCAGCAGCCGCGGUAAUACGAAGGGGGCUAGCGUUGCUCGGAAUUACUGGGCGUAAAGGGCGCGUAGGCGGACAGCUUAGUCAGAGGUGAAAGCCCAGGGCUCAACCUUGGAAUUGCCUUUGAUACUGGCUGUCUUGAGUUUGGGAGAGGUGAGUGGAACUCCGAGUGUAGAGGUGAAAUUCGUAGAUAUUCGGAAGAACACCAGUGGCGAAGGCGACUCACUGGCUCGAUACUGACGCUGAGGUGCGAAAGCGUGGGGAGCAAACAGGAUUAGAAACCCUAGUAGUCC
RNAcentral lists this ribosomal RNA (425 nucleotides) under uncultured bacterium. RNAcentral describes it as "partial 16S ribosomal RNA". It matches the Rfam family "Bacterial small subunit ribosomal RNA", at positions 354 to 796 of the family's 1533-position model. The record is from RNAcentral.